Molecule: ribosomal RNA, 425 nt
Filed under: uncultured rumen bacterium
Lineage: Bacteria
Description: bacterial SSU rRNA
Rfam family: Bacterial small subunit ribosomal RNA
Source: RNAcentral
GUGGGGAAUAUUGGUCAAUGGACGAGAGUCUGAACCAGCCAAGUAGCGUGCAGGAUGACUGCCCUAUGGGUUGUAAACUGCUUUUAUGCGGGAAUAAAGUUCACCACGUGUGGUGUUUUGUAUGUACCGCAUGAAUAAGGACCGGCUAAUUCCGUGCCAGCAGCCGCGGUAAUACGGAAGGUCCGGGCGUUAUCCGGAUUUAUUGGGUUUAAAGGGAGCGCAGGCGGAGUGUUAAGCGUGACGUGAAAUGUACCGGCUCAACCGGUGAAUUGCGUCGCGAACUGGCCCUCUUGAGUGAGUACGACGUAUGCGGAAUUCGUGGUGUAGCGGUGAAAUGCUUAGAUAUCACGAAGAACGCCGAUUGCGAAGGCAGCGUACGAGUCCUUAACUGACGCUAAUGCUCGAAAGUGCGGGUAUCGAACAGG